AACGAACGCUGGCGGCAUGCCUAACACAUGCAAGUCGAACGAGACCUUCGGGUCUAGUGGCGCACGGGUGCGUAACGCGUGGGAACCUGCCCUUAGGUUCGGAAUAACUCCCCGAAAGGGGUGCUAAUACCGGAUAAAGUCUUCGGACCAAAGAUUUAUCGCCUUUGGAUGGGCCCGCGUUGGAUUAGCUAGUUGGUAGGGUAAAAGCCUACCAAGGCGACGAUCCAUAGCUGGUCUGAGAGGAUGAUCAGCCACACUGGGACUGAGACACGGCCCAGACUCCUACGGGAAGCAGCAGUGGGGAAUAUUGGACAAUGGGCGAAAGCCUGAUCCAGCAAUGCCGCGUGAGUGAUGAAGGCCUUAGGGUUGUAAAGCUCUUUUACCCGGGAUGAUAAUGACAGUACCGGGAGAAUAAGCUCCGGCUAACUCCGUG
Molecule: ribosomal RNA, 433 nt
Filed under: uncultured bacterium
Lineage: Bacteria
Description: partial 16S ribosomal RNA
Rfam family: Bacterial small subunit ribosomal RNA
Source: RNAcentral